Molecule: ribosomal RNA, 119 nt
Filed under: Brassica napus (rape)
Lineage: Eukaryota; Viridiplantae; Streptophyta; Magnoliopsida; Brassicales; Brassicaceae
Source: RNAcentral
UGGUGCGAUCGUACCAGCACUAAUGCAGCGGAUCCCAUCAGAACUUCGUAGUUAAACGUGUUUGGACAUAAAUAGUACUAGGAUGAGUGACUUCCCGGAAAAUUUCCGUACCAAAAAAU